AGUGAACGCUGGCGGUAGGCCUAACACAUGCAAGUCGAACGGCAGCACAGUAAGAGCUUGCUCUUACGGGUGGCGAGUGGCGGACGGGUGAGGAAUACAUCGGAAUCUACUUUUUCGUGGGGGAUAACGUAGGGAAACUUACGCUAAUACCGCAUACGACCUACGGGGGAAAGCAGGGGAUCUUCGGACCUUGCGCGAUUGAAUGAGCCGAUGUCGGAUUAGCUAGUUGGCGGGGUAAAGGCCCACCAAGGCGACGAUCCGUAGCUGGUCUGAGAGGAUGAUCAGCCACACUGGAACUGAGACACGGUCCAGACUCCUACGGGAGGCAGCAGUGGGGAAUAUUGGACAAUGGGCGCAAGCCUGAUCCAGCCAUCCCGCGUGGGUGAAGAAGGCCUUCGGGUUGUAAAGCCCUUUUGUUGGGAAAGAAAAGCAGCAGGUUAAUACCCCGCUGUUCUGACGGUACCCAAAGAAUAAGCACCGGCUAACUUCGUG
RNAcentral lists this ribosomal RNA (492 nucleotides) under uncultured bacterium. RNAcentral describes it as "partial 16S ribosomal RNA". It matches the Rfam family "Bacterial small subunit ribosomal RNA", at positions 29 to 507 of the family's 1533-position model. The record is from RNAcentral.